AAUAUAUUGUUGUAAUUCUGCUCCCUCGCCACACUGAUGGUGCGCAUGAGAGCACCAUUGAACACAGGAGAAGACAUGUUGAUAUAAGACAGGAAGAAGGACUGUUGUGGAUAGGCUAAAGUGAAGGAAGUAUAAGCUGUCUUGACUCGAGAGAACGCCCUUGGUGCUUUCUGUGAACUGUGUUAAGGACCUGGGGCGGAACUGGGAAGUGUGUCGGUGGUCUGUAUUGGUAUUUAGGUAGAAAAAGACUGGUAUCCCAUUAGAUAGGAUAUUCUGGGACUUAAUAGCUGAAGCCCAUGCCUAUUUUUAACUGUAAAUAAAUACCUAGUUUAGUGUUACCUCCUGCCUUUCAUUGAGUGCCUGCCUUAGAGUCACAACAUAUAUAUAUA
This is a non-coding RNA of Biomphalaria pfeifferi, 389 nucleotides long. NCBI's taxonomy places the organism in Eukaryota, Metazoa, Mollusca, Gastropoda, Planorbidae. The record is from the annotation of a GenBank genome assembly.